RNAcentral lists this ribosomal RNA (497 nucleotides) under uncultured bacterium. Its description in RNAcentral is "partial 16S ribosomal RNA". It matches the Rfam family "Bacterial small subunit ribosomal RNA", at positions 28 to 507 of the family's 1533-position model. The record is from RNAcentral.
GACGAACGCUGGCGGCGUGCCUAAUACAUGCAAGUAGAACGCUGAAGAGAGGGGCUUGCUCUUCUUGGAUGAGUUGCGAACGGGUGAGUAACGCGUAGGUAACCUGCCUUGUAGCGGGGGAUAACUAUUGGAAACGAUAGCUAAUACCGCAUAACAAUGGAUGACACAUGUCAUUUAUUUGAAAGGGGCAAUUGCUCCACUACAAGAUGGACCUGCGUUGUAUUAGCUAGUAGGUGAGGUAAUGGCUCACCUAGGCGACGAUACAUAGCCGACCUGAGAGGGUGAUCGGCCACACUGGGACUGAGACACGGCCCAGACUCCUACGGGAGGCAGCAGUAGGGAAUCUUCGGCAAUGGGGGCAACCCUGACCGAGCAACGCCGCGUGAGUGAAGAAGGUUUUCGGAUCGUAAAGCUCUGUUGUAAGUCAAGAACGGGUGUGAGAGUGGAAAGUUCACACUGUGACGGUAGCUUACCAGAAAGAGACGGCUAACUACGUG